UAGAGAUACCAGGUUAAUAUCAGGAGAAAGAUCUGGGCUUAGAUCACACACACACACACACACACACACACACACACACACACACAUAAAUGCAUAUACAGUCAUGUGUUGCUUAACGACAGGGAUGUUGUUAGGCAAUUUCAGUGUAAACAGUACAGAGUAUGUAUGUAGUUCUCAUGCAAACCUAGAUACUAUAACCUACUGCUCCUAGGCUACAAAAUUGUACAAAAUAGUGGUCCUAGAGAUGCCUAUAUAAAUAAAAGAGAUUGUCUAAAAAAUAUCCCUGGUGAAGACGUCUAAUAGACAGUUACAUAUAUAAGUCUAGAGUUAACGGAGAUGUCUGGAAGGGGAUAAAGAUUUAUGAGGCAUUAGCAUUUAAAUUGUGGUGAAAGUCAUGGGAAUGGAUGAGAUUUCCCAGGGAGAUUGCAACAUGAGGCGAGGAUAAAGUGGAGAGCGAAGAAACACCAAAAUGUAAAUUGAGGAAUUGGAAGUGAUGGGAUCUAAGGCACAGGUGCCAGAGUGAGCCUUGGAAAGGAGAAAUCUGUAAUUGUUAACUCCUGACAGUCCUCCCAAAAGGAAGCCUUACAGAGCCCUUGCAUGGAUUAUUUUAAACACUGAGACAAAAAUAAUAAUAAUUUUUUUGACGGCAGACUUCAUGGAAAACCUGGAUAAUCCGACAUUCUGACAUUUCUUAA
RNAcentral lists this long non-coding RNA (695 nucleotides) under Homo sapiens (human). RNAcentral describes it as "non-protein coding lnc-IKZF2-7:1". Lineage: Eukaryota; Metazoa; Chordata; Mammalia; Primates; Hominidae. The record is from RNAcentral.